CUGACUCAUUUGAAAAGACCCUGAUCGUGAAGGCCCGCGGCGGGUGUUGACCUGAUGUGAUUUCUGCCCAGUGCUCUGAAUGUCAAAGUGAAGACAUUCAAUGAAGUGCGGGUAAACGGCGGGAGUAAAUAUGACUCUCUUAAGGUAGCCAAAUGCCUCGUCAUCUAAUUAGUGAUGCGCAUGAAUGGAUGAACGAG
RNAcentral lists this non-coding RNA (197 nucleotides) under Bos indicus x Bos taurus (hybrid cattle). RNAcentral's name for it is "Eukaryotic large subunit ribosomal RNA". It matches the Rfam family "Eukaryotic large subunit ribosomal RNA", at positions 2134 to 2331 of the family's 3401-position model. Lineage: Eukaryota; Metazoa; Chordata; Mammalia; Artiodactyla; Bovidae. The record is from Rfam by way of RNAcentral.